RNAcentral lists this ribosomal RNA (313 nucleotides) under Pharaxonotha sp. D0036. RNAcentral describes it as "partial 16S large subunit ribosomal RNA". The stretch from base 178 to 313 matches the Rfam family "Bacterial large subunit ribosomal RNA", at positions 2473 to 2608 of the family's 2925-position model. RNAcentral also lists the same sequence under 4 other names. The record is from RNAcentral. Lineage: Eukaryota; Metazoa; Arthropoda; Insecta; Coleoptera; Erotylidae.
GACCCUAUAGAGUUUAAUAUUUUAUUAAUAAAUUAUUUUUUAGAAUUUAAUAUUAAUUUAUUAAUUGAAUAUUUGAUUGGGGUGAUUGAAAAAUUUAAGUAACUUUUUUUAUAUUUAAACAUUAAUUUAUGAUUGUUUGAUCCAUUAUUUAUGAUUAUAAGAUUAAAUUACCUUAGGGAUAACAGCGUAAUUUUUUUUAAGAGUUCAAAUCGAAAAAAAAGAUUGCGACCUCGAUGUUGGAUUAAAAUUUAUUUUUGGUGUAGAAGCUAAAUUUAUUGGGUCUGUUCGACCUUUAAAAUUUUACAUGAUCUGA